This 762-nucleotide ribosomal RNA is filed under the name uncultured eukaryote. Its description in RNAcentral is "SSU rRNA". It matches the Rfam family "Eukaryotic small subunit ribosomal RNA", at positions 617 to 1408 of the family's 1831-position model. The record is from RNAcentral.
GGUAAAGCUCGUAGUUGGAUUUCUUCUGACAACUACCGGUCCAUACCACGUAUGCGCAUCUGGUUAGGUGUCGGAAUCCUCUCGAUAGACGUUUCUGCGCUUGAUUGCGUGGUGCGGAUCUCGGGACUUUUACUUUGAGGAAAUUAGAGUGUUCACGGCAGGCUGUCGCCAGAAUACAUUAGCAUGGAAUAAUAUUAUAGGAUCUCGGUUCUAUUUUGUUGGUUUCUAGAAUUGGGAUAAUGAUUAAUAGGGACAAUUGGGGGCAUUCGUAUCAACACGUCAGAGGUGGAAUUCUUGGAUUGUGUUGCGACGAACUACUGCGAAAGCAUUUGCCAAGGAUGUUUUCAUUGAUCAAGAACGAAAGUAAGGGGAUCGAAGACGAUUAGAUACCGUCGUAGUCUUUACCAUAAACUAUGCCAACUAGAGAUGGGGCAUCGUUCACUUACGACUUGCUCCGCACCUUAUGAGAUAUCAAAGUCUUUGGGUUCCGGGGGGAGUAUGGUCGCAAGUCUGAAACUUAAAGGAAUUGACGGAAGGGCACCACCAGGAGUGGAGCCUGCGGCUUAAUUUGACUCAACACGGGGAAACUCACCAGGUCCAGACAUAAUAAGGAUUGACAGAUUGAUAGCUCUUUCUUGAUUUUAUGGGUGGUGGUGCAUGGCCGUUCUUAGUUCGUGGAGUGAUUUGUCUGCUUAAUUGCGUUAACGAACGAGACCUUAACCUGCUAAAUAGAAGUGCAUAUCUCCGGAUAAGCGCCUUUCU